RNAcentral lists this signal recognition particle RNA (274 nucleotides) under Carlito syrichta (Philippine tarsier). RNAcentral's name for it is "Metazoan signal recognition particle RNA (ENSTSYG00000034412.1)". It matches the Rfam family "Metazoan signal recognition particle RNA". Rfam says of the family: The signal recognition particle (SRP) is a universally conserved ribonucleoprotein. It is involved in the co-translational targeting of proteins to membranes. The eukaryotic SRP consists of a 300-nucleotide 7S RNA and six proteins: SRPs 72, 68, 54, 19, 14, and 9. The record is from RNAcentral. Lineage: Eukaryota; Metazoa; Chordata; Mammalia; Primates; Tarsiidae.
GCCAGGUAUGGAGGCACACACCUGUAGUCCCAGCUACUUAGGAGACUGAGAUGGGAGAUCAUUUGAACCCAGGAGUUCUGGGCUGUAGUGUGCGAUGCCUACUGGGUGUCUGCAUCAAUAUGAGGACCUCUCGGGCGGAAGGUCCCACCACCAGGUUGGCUAAGGAGGGGCGAACCCACCCAGAUCAGAAGCAGAACAGGUCAAAACUCCUAUGCUGAGUGCUGUGAAUAACCACUGCACUCCAGCCUGGGCAGUGUAGACAGAUCACCUUCCU